GAGAGAGAGUGAAAGAGAGCAUGAGAGGGGAGAGGGGAGGGGGAGCCUGCUGCUGGACUGGAUAGGGGACUCCCAGAUCAUGACCUGAGUGGAAGUCAGUCGCUUAACCCACUGAGCCACCGAGGUGCCUGGAACAGCACUGUUUUAAUUAGUCUAUCUACAGACAAAGCUCUGAUGACAAAGCCUACACCACAUGUCCAGAGUAAUGCUUGCUUUAAUAAGAGUCAAAAGAAAGGAAGAUCCCCAAGAAUAUAAAAAGAAAUAACGCUACUUGGAAAUUCAGACUCCCUGGGACCCUUCUUCCCUAAGAUACGAACUCUUCCCACUGAUCCAUCCAUCAGAAGGAAUGCACCAGCAGACGCCAUUCCUGCCCUCCUGCUUCAAACCCAGGCGUAUCAUAUGACUGAGCAAAUGAAUACAGGUGUUGAUGUUAAAAGAGUCGGGGUUCUCAAUCUGGAAGAAGAAACACAUUUAAUGGAGGGAAACAAAAACUGUGACAAUGGAUUGGAAUUGGAGACAUCAGUGUGGACUCAUGGUUUCUAGACUAUGUAUGGCAACUUCCCUGUAGCCUAAAAACAUACCAAGCCUCUACCAUCUUUAAAGAAAACACAAAACGUCCAACCAUUCCUUACCACCUCCACCGCCCCCAUGACAAAGCUCUCCCCUCCCUUCAUAAAAACCACUGUGGAUUCGAGGACUGCUAUGCGUCAUGAACUUUACCCUACAUGCCAGACAGCCACGAUACCCUGUUUCACAGGUGAGAAAAUUUGGGCUGAGAGAGGAUUUGAACCUAGAUCUGCCUCACACUGGAACUGUCCAGUUAGGUGGCCACGGAACACUUCGAAUGGGGCUGGUCAACUGAGACGUGCAGUAGGUGUAAAUACCAGAUUUCAAAGACUUU
Molecule: long non-coding RNA, 901 nt
Organism: Mustela erminea (ermine)
Lineage: Eukaryota; Metazoa; Chordata; Mammalia; Carnivora; Mustelidae
Exons: 3
Source: RefSeq, a predicted model, not a curated record